Molecule: transfer RNA, 97 nt
Filed under: Candidatus Woesearchaeota archaeon
Lineage: Archaea; Nanobdellati; Candidatus Woesearchaeota
Description: tRNA-Thr
Rfam family: tRNA
About the family: Transfer RNA (tRNA) molecules are approximately 80 nucleotides in length. Their secondary structure includes four short double-helical elements and three loops (D, anti-codon, and T loops).
Source: RNAcentral
GCCUCUGUAGCUCAGUGGUAGAGCGUUACCUUGGUACACUUGGGCUUGAUCUUUUACAAAAAGGUAAAGGUCGCGAGUUCAACUCUCGCCAGAGGCU